Molecule: long non-coding RNA, 307 nt
Organism: Mastomys coucha (southern multimammate mouse)
Lineage: Eukaryota; Metazoa; Chordata; Mammalia; Rodentia; Muridae
Exons: 2
Source: RefSeq, a predicted model, not a curated record
AGCCGAGCGAAGAUGCACCCUAGAUGUGAGUGACGAGGUUUCACCAGCUAGGGGCCUGGAAUGAAUACAUCGGAGAGAGGUACCACAUGGGCCACGUGAGAGCUGACUGGGAAUCUUCGCACCAAAGUCCACUGUGGUUGGCCUCCCUUUAUGUCUUCAGACAGCCAUGCUCGUCUGGAUAAGACUUCUUUGUGCUCAGCGAGCAGUUCAGGGUCUGCCUCUUCUUCACUUCCCACUGCUCCUCUGACUACUAUUAUUGCUAUUUUAUAGGUCCUUUAUUUUUAUGUAAAAAAGCUUUCUGUGAGUA